RNAcentral lists this ribosomal RNA (253 nucleotides) under uncultured bacterium. Its description in RNAcentral is "partial 16S ribosomal RNA". It matches the Rfam family "Bacterial small subunit ribosomal RNA", at positions 524 to 776 of the family's 1533-position model. The record is from RNAcentral.
UACGGGGGGGGCAAGCGUUGUUCGGAAUUACUGGGCGUAAAGGGUUCGUAGGUGGCCAAUUAAGUCAGACGUGAAAUCCCUCGGCUUAACCGGGGAACUGCGUCUGAUACUGGAUGGCUUGAGUUCGGGAGAGGGAUGCGGAAUUCCAGGUGUAGCGGUGAAAUGCGUAGAUAUCUGGAGGAACACCGGUGGCGAAGGCGGCAUCCUGGACCGAUACUGACACUGAGGAGCGAAAGCCAGGGGAGCAAACGGG